UGGGGAAUAUUGGACAAUGGGCGCAAGCCUGAUCCAGCAAUGCCGCGUGUGUGAAGAAGGCCCGAGGGUUGUAAAGCACUUUCAGCAGUGAGGAAAAGUUUACGGUUAAUACCCGUGAACCCUGACGUUAACUGCAGAAGAAGCACCGGCUAACUCCGUGCCAGCAGCCGCGGUAAUACGGAGGGUGCAAGCGUUAAUCGGAAUUACUGGGCGUAAAGCGCGCGUAGGCGGUUUUUUAAGUCGGAUGUGAAAGCCCUGGGCUCAACCUGGGAACUGCAUUCGAAACUGGAUAACUAGAGUAUGGUAGAGGGAAGUGGAAUUCCAGGUGUAGCGGUGAAAUGCGUAGAUAUCUGGAGGAACAUCAGUGGCGAAGGCGACUUCCUGGACCAAUACUGACGCUGAGGUGCGAAAGCGUGGGGAGCAGACAGGAUUAGAUACCCUGGUAGUCCACGCUGUAAACGAUGUCAACUAGCCGUUGGGGAUAUUAAAAUCUUUAGUGGCGCAGCUAACGCGAUAAGUUGACCGCCUGGGGAGUACGGUCGCAAGAUUA
RNAcentral lists this ribosomal RNA (550 nucleotides) under uncultured bacterium. RNAcentral describes it as "bacterial SSU rRNA". It matches the Rfam family "Bacterial small subunit ribosomal RNA", at positions 355 to 896 of the family's 1533-position model. The record is from RNAcentral.